UACGGAGGGUGCAAGCGUUAAUCGGAAUUACUGGGCGUAAAUCGCACGCAGGCGGUCUGUCAAGUCGGAUGUGAAAUCCCCGGGCUCAACCUGGGAACUGCAUUCGAAACUGGCAGGCUAGAGUCUUGUAGAGGGGGGUAGAAUUCCAGGUGUAGCGGUGAAAUGCGUAGAGAUCUGGAGGAAUACCGGUGGCGAAGGCGGCCCCCUUGACAAAGACUGACGCUCAGGUGCGAAAGCGUGGGGAGCAAAGAGGAUUAGAUACCCUGGUAGUCCACGCCGUAAACGAUGUCGAUUUGGAGGUUGUGCCCUUGAGGCGUGGCUUCCGGAGCUAACGCGUUAAAUCGACCGCCUGGGGAGUACGGCCGCAAGGUUAAA
Molecule: ribosomal RNA, 375 nt
Filed under: uncultured bacterium
Lineage: Bacteria
Description: bacterial SSU rRNA
Rfam family: Bacterial small subunit ribosomal RNA
Source: RNAcentral